UACGUAGGAGGCGAGCGUUGUCCGGAAUUACUGGGCGUAAAGAGCGCGUAGGCGGCGCGAUACGACAGGUGUGAAAGCCCCCGGCUCAACUGGGGAGGGUCGCCUGUAACGGUCGUGCUCUGAGUGCAGGAGAGGGACGUGGAACUCCGGGAGUAGCGGUGAAAUGCGUAGAGACCCGGAGGAACACCAGUGGCGAAGGCGGCGUCCUGGCCUGCGACUGACGCUGUGGCGCGAAAGCUAGGGGAGCGAACGGG
Molecule: ribosomal RNA, 254 nt
Filed under: uncultured bacterium
Lineage: Bacteria
Description: partial 16S ribosomal RNA
Rfam family: Bacterial small subunit ribosomal RNA
Source: RNAcentral